This 459-nucleotide ribosomal RNA is filed under the name uncultured bacterium. RNAcentral's name for it is "partial 16S ribosomal RNA". It matches the Rfam family "Bacterial small subunit ribosomal RNA", at positions 338 to 795 of the family's 1533-position model. The record is from RNAcentral.
CCUACGGGUGACAGCAGUGAGGAAUAUUGGUCAAUGGGCGGGAGCCUGAACCAGCCAAGCCGCGUGAGGGAAGAAGGUACAGCGUAUUGUAAACCUCUUUUGUCAGGGAAUAAAGGCGGGGACUAGUCCCCGGAUGAGGGUACCUGAAGAAAAAGCAUCGGCUAACUCCGUGCCAGCAGCCGCGGUAAUACGGAGGAUGCGAGCGUUAUCCGGAUUUAUUGGGUUAAAAGGGUGCGCAGGGGGCCUGUUAAGUCAGCGGUAAAAGCCCGGGGCUCAACCCCGGCGAGCCGUUGAAACUGGCGGGCUGGAGUUGGAGAGAAGUACGCGGAAUGCGCGGUGUAGCGGUGAAAUGCUUAGAUAUCGCGCAGAACCCCGAUUGCGAAGGCAGCGUACCGGCUCCACACUGACGCUGAGGCACGAAAGCGUGGGUAUCGAACAGGAUUAGAUACCCCUGUAGUC